This 323-nucleotide ribosomal RNA is filed under the name uncultured eukaryote. RNAcentral describes it as "partial 18S ribosomal RNA". It matches the Rfam family "Eukaryotic small subunit ribosomal RNA", at positions 1470 to 1796 of the family's 1831-position model. The record is from RNAcentral.
CCCUUAGAUGUUCUGGGCUGCACGCGUGCUACACUGAUAUUGCCAAUAUGUCAUUCUUAUCCGAAAUGGAUUGGGUAAUCAAGUAAUGAAAUUUCAUGCAUGGAAUCGGUAAUUGCAAUUUUAUCGUGAACGAGGAAUUCCUAGUAAGCACUAGUCAUCAGCUAAUGUUGAUUAUGUCCCUGCCCUUUGUACACACCGCCCGUCGCUACUACUGAUUGGGUGUUCAAGUGAGAUGCUUAGACCCUUGUUGCAUGGUUCAUUAUUGUGCUCCGAAAGGAAAAAGUUUCAAGCUUGAGUGUCUAGAGGAAGUAAAAGUCGUAACA